GAAGAUCCGCCGAAAAAAUCCACCGCUGGAAGAAAGAAAAAAGAAAGGAACACACGCCAAAGGUCAGCUAAAUGAGGUCACUAUGACCCGCACGUAAAUAUAGCAAAUAGCACAUUGGCUUACUUUUAUUAACCAGCGCCACGCAACGCCCAUCUCUCCCGGCCGUGGGCAAGACUUAAUUUACGUGUGGCCUGGAUGCUGUCUCAUAUUUUUCGCCCUUCCACCUUUUCACUCUUCUUUUUUUACCAGGUCAGCUCUGCGAGAUUAUCCCGGAGCCGAUUAGCCUUCGCGUAUAAAUAGCCCGCAAGCUUUAAAGUACGCUUAGCGAAGGUACGGUGUCCAUCUUUUCUCGAGGCUGCGAGAAAAAAAGAGAAAAAGCUUAGCUUUGUGUGGACUGGAAGAUCAUAAAGUUUUGCUUUUGCUUC
This 425-nucleotide long non-coding RNA is filed under the name Selaginella moellendorffii. Its description in RNAcentral is "long non-coding RNA (SMOE_LNC001816)". Lineage: Eukaryota; Viridiplantae; Streptophyta; Lycopodiopsida; Selaginellales; Selaginellaceae. The record is from RNAcentral.